CAGAGGCCAGGUUGUUUUUUUUUUUUUUUAAAUCCUCUGGCCUCACACUCCCAAGGGGGGUCUGUGGCGGGCUGUUCCCCGCAAUGGUGUCUGCCCGGCUCUCUGGGAGCCUCCAGUGAGAGACUCCCCUUACACAGGGUCUUUCCUCUCCCCCUUGGUUUUCUGGGGCUCACUUGGCAGCUCACUUUGUGAUUUGCGCUGGGGAGGAGUUUCUGAGUGCUGUAAGUCAACCUGCCCCUGAGUGAACCUAGACCAUCUAAUUGGGUAAUGUGUGCCGGAGGGAAUCCUCAGCCCUCCCUCCCUCCCUUCCUCCCUCCCUCCCUCCUUAUUUCUUCUUUCCUUCCCCCUCCCCUCCCCUCACCUCCCUCCCCCUCCCCUCCCUUUCCUUCCCCUCCCUUUCCCUUCUUUCCUUUUUUUUAAGGUUUAUUUGAGAGGUAGAGUUAGAGAGAGGAGGAGACAGAGAGAGAGAGAGAGAGAGAAGUCUUCCAUCCACUGCUUCACUCCCCAAAUGGCUACAAUGGCUGGAGCUGGGCUGAUCCGAAGCCAGGACAGGAGCUUCUUUCAGGUUUCCCAUGCAGGUGCAGGGGCCCAAGGACUUGGGCCAUCCUCCACUGCUUUCCUAGGCCAUAGCAGAGAGCUGGAUCAGAAGUAGAGCAGCCAGGACCUGAACUAGUGCCCAUAUGGGAUGCCGGCACUGCAGGCGGUGGCUUUACUCACCAUGCCACAGCACUACCUCUCAAAAUUGUACAUAUUUAUGGGGUACUAUGUGAUGUAGUCCAUGUGUAUGUUGUAUAAUGUCUGAUCAGGGUAAAUAUAUUUAUACUUGCAAGCAUUUAACAUUUCUUUAUGGUGAAGACAUCCAAAAGUUAUAUCUUCUAGUUUUUAAAAUAGAAAAGUAUACAGUGCACGAACAUUAUCUGUCUUCACCCUACCAUGCAAUAGAAGCCCAGAACUACUAUCAUGUAGUACCUGUCAGUGGAAUUUUCCUAACCCCUCCCUCCGCUCUUCCCUGCCUAGUCUUUGGUAAUCCCAUUUAUAUUUUAAACUUCUAUGAGAUCAUCUAUUGUUUUAGACGCCACAUGUGGGUGAGAUCACGUGAUGUUUGUCUUUCUGUGCUUUGCUUACUUCACUGAACAUACUGACCUCAAGUUCCACCCGUAUUAUUGCGAAUGACAGGAUUGCACCUUUUUAUGGCUGAGUAGUAUUCAGCUGAGUACAAGCACCUCAUUUUCUAGGUCACCCUCAUCAGUUGAUGGACACCUGGGGUUGUUUCGAUUUCUUGGCUAUUGUGAACAGCACGCGAUAUACAUGGGAGUGCAGACACCUCUACGACAGAUGGCUUUCCUUUUCCUUGGAUAUAUCCCAGAAGUGGGAUUGCUGGAUCAUGUGGUAGUUUGAUCUUCAGUUUUUUGCGGCACUUUUCCACAAUGGCUGUACUAAUUUACAUUCCCACCAGCAGUGCACAAGUGCUCCCCUUUCUCCACAUCCUCACCAACACUUGUUAUCUUUUAUCUUUUUGACAAUACUGUCUUAUUGGAGUGAGGUACUUGUGGUUUUGAUUUGCAUUUCCCUGAUGAUUAGUGAUGUUGAACAUCUUUUCAUGUACUUUUUGGCCAUUUGUCUUCCUUUGAAAAAUGGGUUUAGGUCUAUUGCCCAUUUUUUAAUUUUUUUUUUUUUUUUGCUUUGACUUGCUUGGGUUCCUUGUAUAUUCUGCAUAUUAACACCUUGUCAGAUAUAUAGCUUGCAGAUAUUUUCUCCCAUUCUGUAAGUUGUUUCUUCAUUCUGUUGGUUGUUUCCUUUGCUGUGGAAAAGCUCUUUAGUUUAUUGGAAUUCCAUUUGUCUAUUUUUGCUUUUAUUUCUUGAUGCUCAAAAUCCUUGCCUAUUCCAAUGUCUUGAAAUGCUUGCUUUCAUUGAAUAAUCUCACAGUUCCAGGUUUCACAUUUAGGUCUUCAAUCCAUUUUGAGCUGAUUUUUAUAAAUGGGGAGACAUAGGGACAUAGUUUCAUCCUUCUGCAUAUAAUAUAUCCCAUUUUCCUAGUACUAUUUAUUAAAAAGACUGUUCUGGGGCACUGUGUUAUGGUAGGUUAAGCAUCCACCUGUGGCCGGUUCGAGUCCCAGCUGCUCCACUUCUGAUCCAGCUCUCUGCUAAUGGCCUGGGAAGGCAAUGGAGGAUGGUCCAUGUCCUUGGGCCCCUGCACCCACGUGGGAGACCCUGAAGAAGCUCCUGGCUUCUGAUCGGCCGAGCUCUGUUGCAGCCACUGGGGCUGUGAACAAGUGGAUGGAAGACCUCUCUCUCUGUCUCUCCCUCUGUGUGUAACUCUGCCUCAAAUAAAUAAAUAAAUCUUAAAAAAAAAUACAAAAAACAAAAAACUUUGUUCUUUCUCCAAUGGUUGUUCUUAGCUCCUUUGUCAGAGAUCAGUUGGUUGUAGAUGUGUGGGUUUCUGUUCAAUUGGCCAAUGGAUCUGGUUUUAUGCCACUAAAUGCUGUUUUAAAUACUGUAGCUUUUAAGUGUAUUUUAUAGUCAGGUAGUAUAAUGCUUCCUGCUAUGUUCUUUAUGCACAAGAGUGCUUUGGCUAUUUUGGGUCCUUUGUGGUUCCAUCCAUCUAUUAGUAGUGUUUUCUAUAGUUCUAUGAAAAAUGUUAUUGGGAUUUUUGACAGGGAUUCCAUUGAGUCUGCAAAUUCCUUUGGGUGGUAUGCACAUUUUAAUGACAUUGAUUGUUUCAAUCCAGGGACACAGGAUGUCUCUCUAUUUUUUUGUGUCCUCUUCAAGUCAGUGAUUUACAGUUUGCAUUAUAGAGAACUUUCACUUCUUUUGUUAAAUUUAUUCCCAGGUAUUUUGCUUUUUUUUUUUUUUUUUUUUUUUUUUUUGUGGCUGUUGGAAAUGGAAUUUCUUUCUGGAUUUCUUUUUUCAGAUGAUUCAUUAUGGCUGUAUAACAGUGUUACUGAUUUCUGUAAAUUGACUGUAUCCUGUAACUUUGCUGAAUUUGUUCAUUAUUUCUAAUAGCUUUUUGGUGGGAUGUUUAGGCUUUUCUGUGUAUAAGAUGAUGUCACCCGCAAACAUUGACAAUUUAAAUUCCCUCUUUCCAGUUUGGAUACCUUUUGUUUCCUUCUCUUGCCUAACUGCUCUAACUAGGAGCUCCAAUACUGUGUUGUUUUGUUUCGGACCCUAGAGAAAAAGCUUUUCCCCACUGAGUGUGAUGCUAGCUGUUGGCUUGUUAUAUCUGGCUUUUAUUAUGUUGAAGUAUGUUCCUUCUAUCCAUAAUUUGGUCACAGUUUUUAUCAUGAAGCAAUGUAGAGUUUUAUCAGCUGUUUUUUCUGAUUUGAUUUUUGUCAAAAUCCUUGCAUUCCUGGAAUGAAUCCCACUUGAUCAUGGUAAAUGUUCUUUUUAACAUGCUGUUGGAUUCAAUCUACUAGUAUUUUGUUGAUGAUUUUUGCAUCUAUAUUCAUCUAGGAUAUUGGUCUGCAGCCUGGUUUCUUUUUGUUGUAUCCUUGUCUUGCUUUGGUAUCAAGGUAAUAUUGGCCCCAAAGAAAGACUUGAUUGGGAUCAAAUCUGAUUGGUGACCUUUAACAUUCCUUCCUUGGAUAGUUGUAUCAUUUUAUUUUAUUUUAUUUUUUGACAGGCAGAGCGGACAGUGAGAGAGAGAGACAGAGAGAAAGGUCUUCCUUUGCCGUUGGUUCACCCCCAAUGGCCACUGUGGCCGGCGCACCGCGCUGAUCCGAAGCCAGGAGCCAGGUGCUUCUCCUGGUCUCCCAAGCAGGUGCAGGGCCCAAGGACCUGGACCAUCCUCCACUGCCUUCCCAGGCCACAGCAGAGAGCUGGACUGGAAGAGGAGCAACCGGGACAGAAUCUGGCGCCUUGACCGGGACUAGAACCUGGGGUGCCAGCGCCACAGGUGGAGGAUUAACCUAGUGAGCUGUGGCGCCGGCCUAAGUUGUAUCUUUUUCUGGGUUUGGAAAGUUUGAUUGUCUCCUUGAAAGUGCCUUCUACUUCUUUGGCAUGCUCAAGUCCCUCUUGAAUUCCAACAACUUGAAUUUUUUUUUUCAUGUUAUCCCAUAUUUUACAUAAACUUUAUUCAUUCCUGUUGGUUCUUUAUUCUUUUUUCUCUUGAACUGCAUAUUUUAAAUAACCUGUCUUUGAGUUCACUGAGUCUUUCUGUUUGAUCUGUUUUGCUAUUGAUGCUAUUGCAUUUAAAAUUAAAAAUUUUUAAAUUUAUUUUAAAUUUUAUUUAAUGUACUUUUCAGAUGAAGGAUUUCUGCUUCAUUUUGCUUAAUUACUUCCAUCUCUGUCAACUCUCUCUAUUGGAAUAUUGAGCCGUUUUUCUGUGUUCUCUUGAAUUUUGUUGAGUUCCUUAAAACAGUAUUUUGAAAUCUUCGUGUGAACAUUUGGAAACCUGAAUUCCUGGAUGGUUGGUUUCUGACACCGUAUUUUGCUCUUUAGGUGAGAUCAUGGCUCCUUGGAAGUUCCUACUGCUUGUUGGAGUACAACAUCCUCUGUGCAUGAAGGGAAAAGCUUUUCAGCUUUUGCGCUGUUUCCAAGCUGAAGCCAAGAGAAUGCUGGCUGCUGAAGGACUCUGCAGGGUGCCCUAGCCUUGCUCUCCUGUAAUUUGGCCAUUUAACCCUGCUCCAUCUCACGUUCCUCCACGAUUUCUCGUGUGUGUGUGAAGGAAGGCUCUGGAUCUCAACUGGGACACUCUUCCUGAUGACCCAGAUGAAGCCCCGUCUCUGCUGGACCCAAAGCCCUCGGCAGGUUCUGAUCCCAACGCUCGGAAAACACAGUGAGAUCACCCUGCUCGUCAUCUGUCUGCUGCUGGGUUGGGUGCUGCUUGAGGGUAGAUUGUGUCUGACUGGCUCACUGCUGCUUCAGGGCCAGGAACUGCAGAUGACGUUUUAGAAAGUGCAAUGUGUGAAUGAUGAAGUUAUUUUGCUUCUCUGUGCCUUAGUUCCUCCAUCAGCACCUGAAGGCUGACAGUGGUAUCUACCUUGCAGGGUUGUUGAGAGGCCCAUACCUGGCAUGUAAUAAGUGCUCAUCUACUGACCUCACAGUAAUUCUGGGAGGUAGACACUGCUAUCCAUCUUAGUCCAUUCUGUGCUGCUACAAGAGAGAAAGAAAGAAGUAAACCUCCCUGUCUCAGUCAGAUAUGGGGGUGCAAGGGCGUCACCUGCUCAGCCCUGUGUGGGGGGCAGCUCUGGUCACAUCACAUCAUGGCAGAUGGCGUCACCGUAGGAGCACACAGGAGAGGGAGCGUUCACAUGGCAAGCCUGGAAGCAAGAGACCCGGCUCACUCUUUGUAGCGUGUGCUUACAGAGAACUAAGUUUUUCCGCGAAGCCAGCAUGAUUCCAUCCAUGAGGGUGGCGCCUACAGUGAAUCUGCUCCCUUCCACUAGGCACCCUCAUUAAGGUCCCAGCCACCUUCAUGCCACCACACUGGGGACCAAGCUUGCAGCACAUGCACCUUUGGGAGACACACUCAGACAUAUCCAGACCACAACACUGUCCCUGUUUUUACAGUGGGGAAUCUGUGUCCUUUAAAAGUUAAGUGACUUGUCCAAGGCCUUGGUGAGCAGCAGGAUUUGAACUCAGAUCCAUCUGAUGCCAAAACUUGAGCCCCUCCUACAGCGUACCCGUAGCUCCCCCUGGUAAGCUGGUGUAGCUUAUUUGUUCCACUGGAUUUAACAGUAGGCACCAGAUACUUUCAAGUUAAUUGGGGGGCCAGUGCCUGUCCCUGAGAAGCUCCAAGAGUGUUUAUUUUAGGCCUUAAUUUAAAGAUGCUGUGUGCUCUAAGCUCCAUUACCUCUCCCACCCCCAUCCUAACCUGCAGUCUGCCCAGCAUCUCCUGCCUGUGGACCUGCUCGCUGCCUGGAACAGAGCCAUGGGUAGGCCAGGGUUUCCUGUGGCCUUCACCCUGUCCUGUAAGUGGUCACGUGUGGGCCCUGGGAGCAGUGUCAGCCUCCAGAGUCUGCUUCCUCAAGACUUUGAGUGCAGGGGCACUUCUGUAUUCCCUUACAAUAGUGAGGUGUGCUGAUCACUUUCAUUGUGGGGCGAUAUAGAUAAUGAAAUUUACCAUUCUAAUGGCUUCUAAGUGGACAGUCAGGGGUGUUAGGUAUAGUCACAGUAGUGACAACUAACACUGCUGUCUUUCCAGAACUUUUACAUCGUCCCACAUAGGACCCAUGUAACGGCAACUCCCAUGCCCUUUCUCACCCAGUCUCCGGCAGCCACUGUUCUCCAGUCUAUCUCUGUGCAUCUGCCUGCCUUAUAUAUGUAGACUUAUACAAUAUCUGUUUUUUUGUGCUUGGCUUAUUUCACUAAGCAUAAUGUUUCCACAAAUCAUCCACAUUAGCAUGUACCAGAAUGUCACUUGGUUUUAGGGCAAGCUACUGUUCCAUUGCGCUACUGUGUAGCACAUGUACUACUAUCUUGCUUUGAGUACCUGUGGGUGUAUAUGUUCUUGGGAGUAGAAUCGCAGGAUCAUAUGACAAUUCUACAUUGAACUUUUUGAGGAACCACCAAAUUGCUUCCACAGCCACCACACCAUUUUACAUUCCCACCAGCAAACCACAAGGGUUCAAAUUUCUCCACACCCUCUGCAACACUUGUUAGUCUUCAUUUUGUUUUGUUUUGGAUAGUAGUUGUCCUAAAGGGUGUGACAUGGUAUCUUAUUGUGGUUUGAUUUGCAUUGCUAAUGAUUCACUCUUCAUGUGCUGUGGGCCCUUUGUGUGCCAUCUUUGGAUUCAUGUCUAUUCAGACUGCAGCCUCCUAGGUCCCUGGUGCAGGCUGCCAGUGGAGGGAGGAGUGGCUUGAUGCCACCCACACACUGGCUGGGUAGCUAUGAUUUGGGGUGGUGUCUUCAGGGCUGGGGCUGCCAGGGGCUGGCAGGUGCCUGGGGCCUUCAGGAUAAGCUAGCACGUGGCUCACAGGGAAGGGGUGAGGCUUUGAUGCCAGAGUCCUUGUGCAGGCAGAGUCUCCAGGGCUGGAGUCCAGGUGUGGGGGAGGCGGUGGCCAGGGAUGAUAAGAAAAGUCAGUUAUGAGCCACAGCAGCUGUUACUGAGGAGGCAAUGGAUUGUCUGCAACACUGGGAGAGGGUGGAGUGUCUACUCUAACACGUGGCAGCCAGGCAAGGCCUGCUCUGAGUACAGGCAGCUCCUGCCUCUGAGUGCCCCAGAACCCAGGCCGAGCAAAUAGCUGUAUCCUCAUAUCUUGCCCCGUCUCCUUCUUCCCCAGCCCCCCUGCAUAGCCUCACUGAGUACUGGUGCCCAACGGUGAGCUGGCCCGUGUGUGUGUGUGUGUGUGUGUGUGUGUGCGCGCGCGCGUAGGCGUGCAUGUGUGAUGUGCUACAGAGGGAGGACUUGGGAGGAGUGUGAAGGCGACAGGAAAAUGUCCCACUUGUACUUGUCAGUGAGUUGGUGUUCGUUUCUGAGCCCAGGCACAGCAGAAGGAACGCUGAGCUAGCAGUGAAGACGUGUGAGACCUCCCCUGGGUUGGCCUCUCACCAGGCGAGGGUGGGAUUUACAGUAUGAGUGGCUCUCUGCUUCAUCAGGGUGAGGUUCUCUCUCUUUCCUUGUGGGACUGGGGCUGCAGGGGACCUGCUCCGAGUCUAUCCCCGCUGAGUAGUGUGGUGGCUGCUGUGCACGCUGCCUAGGCCCUUGCAAUUUAGUCCUGCUUCUAGCACCAGAAAGCAGCCUCUAUUUAGGAAUUUAUAAAUACAGUGAAAAGAUGAGCUAAGAAGUGAGCCUAUUGUAUUCUGUCUACUCAACAGUGAACCAAGCCAUAAUUGUACUUAGGUCAGCCACACACAAUAUGAGGCUCCACUCAGAAGGGGCUGUGUGCUAAUUGCCAACCCCAGCUCCUCGGGGUAACAUUGACCUCCUUAGACAGAAGCCAUUUAAGCACCAUCCAGUUCCCCUGUCAUCUGCCUUGUCCUGAUUCUGCGGAUUCUGCAGAACUAUUUCUGCUUCCCAUGGUGGUCCGUGACCUGGACAGCUCCACUCUGUUCAUUUCCUUGGUCAAAGUGGACAUAGCAUUUUCCCAGAACUCUCAGCUUUCCUUUUUAGGGGGACCACAAUUGAAUGCUCAGAUUUCCAAGUUUUCAUUGCUGCAUUUCUGAGUUUCUAGCUAUUUCUGGCCCUACCUGCUACUGCAGAGAUGGAUGUAAUAGGGAGAGUUGGGAGGUCCACUAUUCUCCAGUAUGAAAGGAUCGUGGCUACUGCAAACACAGUCUUAGCUUAGAGCUCAUUGAGGCCCCCAGGGCUAAGCCCAGAAGAUCAGCUGUCAGCUCUAACAGUGGUCAAUUUCUAGCCCUCACUUCACCCUGCUUGGCCAGGGUGACCCUCGUUCCCCCAUUGCCUGGGUGAGUGUGAUGGUUACUUUAUGUUCCAACUUGACUGGGCCUCCAGGCUAAGGCUUGUUUCUGAGGAUGUCUUUAAGGAUGCUUCUGGAUGAUACUGUAUUUGAAUUGGUAGACCCAGUAAAGCAGAUUGCCCUCUUCCUAUGCAUUGAAAGCCUGGAGAGAAUACAAAGGUGAGUGAGAAAGAAUUCUUUCUGUGUGUCUUUGAGCCAGGAUAUCAGUCAUUUGUCUUUGGACUCUAAAUUGAGUUGGAACAAACACCAACCUCUCUCCUGGAUGCCAGUUGGCUGACUACAGAUCUAGCACUUCUAAGUCUCCAUGAUUGUGUGAGCCAAUUUGUUAUAGUGAAUCAUGUCUCUGUCUCUAUCUCUAUCUCUAUCUCUAUCUCUAUCUCUCUAUCUCUCUAUCUCUAGUCCUAUCUCUCCCUCUCCUUUUCCCUCGCCUUGUUUCUAUCUCUAUCUCUAGCCCUAGCCCUAUCUCUAUCUCUACCUCUACCUCUAUCUCUAUCUCUUUCUCCCUCUCCCUCUCCCUCUCCCUCGCCUUGUUUCUAUCUCUAUCUCUAGCCCUAACCCUAGUCCUAUCUCCAUCUCUAUCCCUAUCUCUAGCCUUGUUUCUAGCUCUAGCUCUAGCUCUAUGUCUCUCUCUUAUUUUGAUCUCUCCUAUUGGUUCUGUUUCUCUGGAGAACCCAGGGUAAUACAUUAGGGCUUAAUCAACUGAGCAGAGCUGGCCAGGUAGAUGCUCCAAUUUGUCUCCCUCCUCCUUUAAAUAUAUAGAACAAGGUUAGGUAUUGAUUAGAGGGUCCUCUGGCAAUAAUCUCAUUGGGCCAUUUAUUUUUUUAAUGUUUUAUUUUAUUCUCAUGUCAUUUUAUUUUAUGGGAUUGGUUGUUUUUGCAACCACAUUCCUGCCUGGCUCUCUGCAGUUAUUUUGAUCACAGCUGCAGUCCCAGGGCGGUCUCCUCUCCAGGGGGGUCUGGCAGAAAGGGGAGCAUAUGUCAGAAGGCUGGGGAAAUGGGCACAAACCUUUGCUUAAUGUUUUAUUAGAGUACAUGCAGCAAUGCAUAUAAAGCAAGUCCCAUGGUGGGAGAAUUCAGAAUAAAUUACUGCUUGCAAUUUCCUGUUUGGCAUUGAUCUUGCAGAUUGGGGGCUCAAGAUGGGAACGACUGGGUAUUAUUAUACCAGGAUCUGUGUUGAAGUUUCCACAAAUUCCUCAUGAAUUGUGUGAUGUCAGAGAUGUGCAGAUCCUUAGAGACAAGCCAGUCUGCCUCACAAAAUCUUGAUGAGGCUCAGAAACCCAGACAGGCCCGGGAUGUCCUAGCAAAGAGGGACGCAGUCUUGGCCAUGAGAUGAGUUCAGCUUCAGCAUCCAGAGGCACUGAUUCUAACAGGUGCGAGAGAUUGUUUGAAGGCAGCCCAAGUCUGUUCUGACUUGUGGAGGGUCCCUUCAGAGCCGUUGCCUGCCUUUGCCCUCCUCCUUGCUCUUUAAUGUGGGUUUAUGGCCCAGCCUUGAGGCAUUUCCAGUCGUGACUCCUUUGGCAGCCAGGGCAACUCUGAGCAGCUGAGAGCUGUCAGGGGAGCAGAAAGUGCCCAGGGCCUGACUAAGCCAGUUACUUAGUGGGACCCUUGGCUGUGUUCUCUUUCAGGAGGUGAUAAACCCUGCCCUGCCAAUGUCACAGGUGACAGAGCCAGGGCAAAGGAGUUCAGCCAAUGGUUUCAGUGUCCUUCUCUUUUGUAACUACAUGGCUCCAGGACCCAACAGGGUUCAGUGCUGAAAGGAAAAUGUCUUCAGGAGCCAGCCACCCUCUUGAAAUUGUCUCCCAAAAUCUCACUGCCCCUAGGCACCUCCCUGCUGCUCCCAAGGCCAACCCUGCUGCGGGGGAGCUGGCCAAGCCAAUCUCAGGCAGCCCUAAACAGUGUGUUCUCCAGUGUCCACUCUAUUGCAACUUCCUCAUGCCCAGUGACUACAUCUCACUCUCCUUAUAUAACCCAUAGACUCGUGCCCCUUCUCUGCUACCAUGUGACCAAUCCCCCGUACCCAUAAAAUGUAGUGUUUCUUUCUCAUGGAUUUUGUGGGACAGGAAUUUCAGCACGUUACGGAUGCUGCUUCCGGCCCAGGGUCUCUGAGUUCGCAGGUAGAUGUCAGCUGGGGCUGUGGGCAUCUGAGAGUUGUACUGGGGCUGGGGAUCCACACUUGAGGGGAAGCUGCUGCUGGCCACUGGAGGGGGCCUUAGUUCUGUCUGCCGUGCAGCAUGGGUGGCUCAUGGCAGCUGCAUCCCCCAGAGGAAGAGGUCUGAGAGCCCAAGGCAGAGGCUGCAGGGCUUUUUAUGACCCAGUCUCACUGCCUCUCUAUUGUACUGGUCACACAGGACCAGCCCUGAUUUGGUGUGGGAGGGAAUUACACGAGGGCAGGAAUCCCAGGAGACAAGGGCCAUGGAAGACUGGCUACCUCGGUCCACCUGCUGGCUCCUGCUGGUUUACCUUGUGAAUAUGCACUCCAUGACAUCCUAUUGCGUUCCAGCAUCAGCUUAAAGUCCUGGACCUUGGGUGAAUUCCUGCCCAAUUACUCUUGGUAGAGAGGCCUAUGAACAACAUAAGCCUAUUAACUUCCUUGUGCCUGAUACGCAAUGAUGAGACAGACACAGGCUAACCACUGUAGAUUCUCCUAUUAAGGGGGAAAAAGUGUGUGUGUGUG
This is a non-coding RNA of Oryctolagus cuniculus (rabbit), 11031 nucleotides long. The record is from RefSeq and is a predicted model, not a curated record. NCBI's taxonomy places the organism in Eukaryota, Metazoa, Chordata, Mammalia, Lagomorpha, Leporidae.